RNAcentral lists this ribosomal RNA (258 nucleotides) under uncultured prokaryote. RNAcentral's name for it is "partial 16S ribosomal RNA". It matches the Rfam family "Bacterial small subunit ribosomal RNA", at positions 524 to 782 of the family's 1533-position model. The record is from RNAcentral.
UACGUAGGGGCAAGCGUUAUCCGGAUUUACUGGGCGUAAAGCGUGCGCAGGCGGCUUUGCAAGACAGAGGUGAAAUCCCCGGGCUCAACCUGGGAACUGCCUUUGUGACUGCAAGGCUAGAGUACGGCAGAGGGGGAUGGAAUUCCGCGUGUAGCAGUGAAAUGCGUAGAUAUGCGGAGGAACACCGAUGGCGAAGGCAAUCCCCUGGGCCUGUACUGACGCUCAUGCACGAAAGCGUGGGGAGCAAACAGGAUUAGA